Corythoichthys intestinalis (scribbled pipefish) is the source of this 806-nucleotide long non-coding RNA. RefSeq lists it as uncharacterized. NCBI's taxonomy places the organism in Eukaryota, Metazoa, Chordata, Actinopteri, Syngnathiformes, Syngnathidae. The record is from RefSeq and is a predicted model, not a curated record. The transcript has 7 exons.
GUUCGACUCAGCGUGGGAGCUAAUUAAGUAGGAUGUGAUCGCCUUGCUUGUGCGACUGGUCAUCCAUUCUGAAAUGUGAGCAGGCGCUAUGGUCCUGUUCGGUGGGCCGCCAAGCAAUUGCAGUGCAAAGAGCAACUCAUUCUUGUGCAACCCACUGCAGUGUAUUCUCAGCUGCAGUGUUACUAUGGGGGAAUGACACUGCUAUACGUGUGCCAGUCAUUUGUUGGUCUGUUGAUGUUUUUGUGUCCUGAAAUUCUUAUUUCAUUGUACAGGCACAAAGGCAAACUCUCAACCAGUAGGGAGUUUGCGCUGGAGCUUGCCCUCUAUGAUCGUCACAUGGGAUGCAAUAAAACGAGUUUGGUUUUAACAAGGUUGCACUGAAGCUGCGCCCUGACUGUUGCUCUCAAACGAGGAUGUCCUCACCAAGGUGACCGAUUCGCACGUUCCGGACGUCGCUUUAACACUGCUUUCAAAAACAACUUGAACCUCGAUGCAAGGGAAGAGGCCUGCAACAAAUCGGAUUCCUCGACGAAUGACCAUUUGAAAUUUUUUAGUAACUCAGUCGUGCUGUCAUUCUUCAGUUGUAAUAAUUGCUUUUUUCAUCCCGAUUGUUUACCUGAAAUGCAAAAAAAUAUAUUUGAGUGGGAGUAGAAUACUUGUCACCUACCGGGAGCGUUCCAUUGCACUUCCUCAUUGAAAUAUUGUGGAAAGAAAGCACUUGUCUUUUUGAAUAACACUCUUACCAUUGAUAAACCUUUGUGGUUUUGCUUUUGCCUUGCGAACAAAUAAAAUGCAUUUCUAAAUUA